This 492-nucleotide ribosomal RNA is filed under the name uncultured bacterium. Its description in RNAcentral is "partial 16S ribosomal RNA". It matches the Rfam family "Bacterial small subunit ribosomal RNA", at positions 29 to 507 of the family's 1533-position model. The record is from RNAcentral.
AGUGAACGCUGGCGGUAGGCCUAACACAUGCAAGUCGAACGGCAGCACAGUAAGAGCUUGCUCUUACGGGUGGCGAGUGGCGGACGGGUGAGGUAUACAUCGGAAUCUACUUUUUCGUGGGGGAUAACGUAGGGAAACUUACGCUAAUACCGCAUACGACCUACGGGUGAAAGCAGGGGAUCUUCGGACCUUGCGCGAUUGAAUGCGCCGAUGUCGGAUUAGCUAGUUGGCGGGGUAAAGGCCCACCAAGGCGACGAUCCGUAGCUGGUCUGAGAGGAUGGUCAGCCACACUGGAACUGAGACACGGUCCAGACUCCUACGGGAGGCAGCAGUGGGGAAUAUUGGACAAUGGGCGCAAGCCUGAUCCAGCCAUACCGCGUGGGUGAAGAAGGCCUUCGGGUUGUAAAGCCCUUUUGUGGGGAAAGAAAAGCAGCAGGUUAAUACCCCGCUGUUCUGACGGUACCCAAAGAAUAAGCACCGGCUAACUUCGUG